UUACUGACGCUAAAGCUCGAAGGUGCGGGUAUCGAACAGGAUUAGAUACCCUGGUAGUCCGCACGGUAAACGAUGGAUGCCCGCUGUUUGCGAUAUACUGUGAGCGGCCAAGAGAAAUCGUUAAGCAUCCCACCUGGGGAGUACGCCGGCAACGGUGAAACUCAAAGGAAUUGACGGGGGCCCGCACAAGCGGAGGAACAUGUGGUUUAAUUCGAUGAUACGCGAGGAACCUUACCCGGGCUUGAACUGCAGCGGAAGGAUAGAGAGAUCUUGACGCCCUUCGGGGCCGCUGUGGAGGUGCUGCAUGGUUGUCGUCAGCUCGUGCCGUGAGGUGUCGGCUUAAGUGCCAUAACGAGCGCAACCCUUUUCAUUAGUUGCCAUCAGGUCAUGCUGGGCACUCUGAUGAUACUGCCACCGUAAGGUGUGAGGAAGGUGGGGAUGACGUCAAAUCAGCACGGCCCUUACGUCCGGGGCUACACACGUGUUACAAUGGGUGGUACAGAGAGUCGGUCGUCUGCAAAUGCGAUCCAAUCCUUAAAGCCAUCCUCAGUUCGGAUUGGGGUCUGCAACCCGACCCCAUGAAGCUGGAUCGCUAGUAAUC
Molecule: ribosomal RNA, 601 nt
Filed under: uncultured bacterium
Lineage: Bacteria
Description: bacterial SSU rRNA
Rfam family: Bacterial small subunit ribosomal RNA
Source: RNAcentral